Molecule: long non-coding RNA, 3292 nt
Organism: Pan troglodytes (chimpanzee)
Lineage: Eukaryota; Metazoa; Chordata; Mammalia; Primates; Hominidae
Exons: 2
Source: RefSeq, a predicted model, not a curated record
UCAGGCGAUCCACCCACCUCAGCCUCCCAAAGUACUGGGAUUACAGGCAUGAGCCACCGCACCCGGCCAACCAUGAUUUUUUAAAAUGUGCAUUCAUAAGGGAGUGAGCUAACACAGAAACUCAUGGGAUUAGCAUAAAGAAACAUUUCUUUCUAAGGGAAAUGUAUGAGUCAUUUUUUUUUUUCUUAUAAGACUGCUGUGAGUCAAGUUCUAUGGCCAAAUUCUGGAUGAAUACAGGAUUUAUAAACACUUGAUAUAUUGUACAAGCUGUAGAAAGACUUCCUAUUGGGCAAUGGUAUCUUUGCGGAAUUUGUUUUUUAUACUGGGAAGCAAAAGUUCCACAGGGAACAAGUUAACUCCUAAGGUUUAGUCACUGGAAACUGCAAAAGACGAAAGCCUACAAAGAUGAAAGAACAGACACUUUAGAGCUCCCUGAUGGACAGGAAUCCUACUCAUCAGAGCUCUUCCUCUACAGCAGCAUUUCUCAGAGUGGGGCUUCUGGACCAGAAGCAUCAGCACCACCUGGGAACUUGUUAGAAAUGCCAAUUCUUGAGCCUCUUUCCAGACCUACCGAAUUGGAAAGUCGGGGUUGAGGCCCAGCAGUGUGUUUUCACAAACCCUCCUGGGGAUUCCGAUGCACACCAAAGUUUGAGAGCUACACGUUUCUAAGAGACAAUCUAGGCAGACUAUACACAGGAAAUGGCUUUCCUUUCACAAAAAUGUUUAGUCCCUAGUGCCCUAAGGCAUCCACUGUAGAUAAUGGGUUACAUUCUCUCUCUGCAACUAGGAUGGUACUGGUAUGUACCAUCCCUGGGGAUUAUUGAGAAAAUAGUCAUCCAAAUAGUUGUCAUUGUUCUAUGAUUAAGUCCCCAGUGACAGUUUUGUUGCUGUCCACCAAUCAACUACUAAGCCAUUUGGUUACACAGCAGCACUUCACUUCGAGGAACCAGUUUUUGUAUGGAUAAAGAAAAUCUAAGUUACGCUGUGCCAGCAAGUCACUCCCUAGCUUCUCUGGCUUAGCAUAAUAAAGGAUUAUUUCUUGUUCCUAAUACACCUGCAACACAGCUUGGCAAGGAAACUCUAUUCCACGUAGUCACUCAGGGACGACGCUAAUGGGAUGUCUGUGUCAACACUUGCUUCCGUGAUCAUCACUAUGACAAGGGGAGUACAAGAUACGGUAAACUGCACUGGCUUUUAAAGCUUCCAUCUGGAAUUGACACAUAACCUUUUCUGUUUCAUUGGAGAAGUCACAUGGCCAAGUGUAACUUCAAAAGUGUGUGGGUAGUACAUCCUAUCCUGUUGUGCCCAGAAAAAGAACUGGAGUAUCUGAGAACAGCCCUCGUGACUGCUAUUCAAGGUUAUGAGUGGGCCACAAUGGCCAUCAUGCAAAGCUAUGUGUUCACAUUCAAGAAAUAGCAGGGCUGAGAGUUUCCAGUUUUUACCUUCUUUCACUAUCUCUUUGAUUAUAUUGACUCUCAAAUCUGCACCUUCCUUCCCAAGGUCUUUUUUGAUCAACCUUUUUCAUUUUCUUAAACUUAAAAAAAAAAAUUGAAGUUAAUAUACAUACAGGAAAGCACAUACGUGUGUCUACAGCCUGAUGAAUGGUCACAAAGUGAGCAUAACAGUGCAACUACCCCCCAGGCAAGAAAUUGACCAUUACCAGGAACUCACCAGCCCCAUUUGGGCUCCUUCCAGCUCCCUCAUGGCAACACUCCUGACUUCUAACACCAUCAGUUAUUUUUUUACACUCAUUCAUUCAACUAGUAUUUCUCAGCUAGGCACCGGAACUUCUCAGUCCUGGCAGAUGGUGUUACAAACCGAAGCGUGAGAUUUCAUCCUAGUAAGCUUCCUGUUGGAAGACUGGAUUUUUCUGGGGGUGGGGGUGACAUAUUUUAGGCAGGAUUGGGGGUGGGUGAGCUCUCUCAACUCUCAGGGAUUUUACCUAAUAAAUAUUUUCCUUAUUACCUGUUUAAGCACAUCCAGUACUUCCUAAAAGAGCAGAUGGGACCAUAGCAAGAAUCUCUUUGCUGCCUGACACAUGAGAAGUGGCCUGCCCAGCUGGCACUUGCUCUCCUACAACCAGCCUCAACAAGGCAUCGAGCUGCCUGCACCAGUGACAGCAAAGCAGCACCUGCCUGUCUGCAGCUCAGGGAUUUUCUCUGGCUCUCAGUGGCACAGCCUUAGCCUUCCAGGUGGUUUCCAGGGCUGGGUAACUAGUUCCUUCUGGGUUGGGGAAUGGGGAACAAGUGUAAAAGUUAUUUUGGCUCAAAUACAAGAUUGACAUUUGGUUUUAGAAAUAGGAAUAUUUGUUAUGCAGCUUCCAUUUUAUGAAAAUGAGGGAUAUGUUUUCCAUCCUCUUACCUAUUUAAUCAACAAAGGUCUUAAUGGAGAUGCAGUGGGCAGCUGGAUUCUUAAAAUGCCAGCUCCUUCCCAAUAUCCUCUAAAUCAGACAUUUCUGUCUAAGCAUGCACCUGCAAAAAUGAUACGUUGUUUUCCAGCUUCACUGCAAGAUCCCUGCCAGAAUUCAGGAUAGGUAUCUCAAGGAUAUCAUUACAAGUUCCAAAUAAUGCCAUCUUUCAUGCUUGAAAAGCCAUGACUGUCUGGUCCCUGCAGGGAGUAGCUGGUGCCUUCAGUGGGGAGGGGUUCGAGCGUGAGCAGCUCAGGAACAUUGUGGUCUACGGUUCAGCCACAUCCUUUGUGGUAAGAAACUGCAACAAAGUGUACUUUAUAUUUUUAUAAUCAGCUGGCUUUUAAAUUACAGCCAUGCUGAAUAAGAGCAGAGAAAACGUAUGAUUAGUAAUUUCCUUAUGCAGAAAGUAGAACAGUUUCUGGCUAAGGCCUAGGGCUUUAAAAAAAAAAAAAGGUGCUUUUAGUAAAAAAAAGAAAAUGGAAAACUCUUUAUUCCAAAGCCAAAGCAAUGGUUCAUGGCCUCCUUCUGAGCAGUAAUAGUCCAGCUCCACGAGGAAGUGGAAAUGGAAAAGAUUAGCUUGGGAAAAUAUUCUAAGAGCUGUCUGCCUGCCCAGCCACUGUCACCUAUAUACUGAGCUACCUUCUCUGGUCCUUACAAGCACGGAAAAAUGGAUCUGUGGCAGCCAUGGUUCCUGGACUUCUAGAAAUGACUAUAUUCCAGGAGAUGCAGAAAUGCUACUGAACAUGGAUGUGCAGCACCACAGAAAACCUAUGUGGGAUCCUGAUCACCAGUGGAAGGCCGGCUCUUUAUAGAGCUAAGAUGGAACAAAGAAAAUUCCCAGGCCCAGGAACCACCAGAGGUACUACCUUAUUUGCUCAAAAG